GCUGCCUGGAACAAAAUAACACCACGCUGGGGCCAAGAACUCUUCUUGCACAUCUUGCUCACUCAUUUCCCACGCCCUCUUCCUAAGCCUUUAGCUGGUCAGAGUCCUUGCUCUCGUCAAUCUCAGCAGUGAAAGCAGUGCAUCCAUGGCACACGUGUGUGCAUCUUGGUGUUUUGCGUCACCCACAGCUGGUCCUGCGCCUGGCACAGGGAGACACCAGAAAGUAUGUGAUGAAUGGAGCACUUCUCAUGAAAAUCACAAAAUGAGCCAAGACCGAGAUGGAAGUGUUCUUGGAGAUCAGCACUGUUUCUAUAAUGAGGACUUCAUUCCAGAACGAGGGCACGCUUCACUUGGGGUUUCACAGCCAAAAGACCCCGGGGACAACCUGAAUGUUGAGCAGAAGAAUGGACACGUUAUGGUACAUGUCCCAGUGAAAAACUAUACAGCAAUAAAAAUGAAGCAGUAUCACAUGACACAAAGCUGAGUCUCACCGAAGAAGAGAGACACAAAAGGAACACAGUGUGCAUGAUUGCAUUUUAGAAACUUCAGAACGCAUCUCUAAUGUUGGAAGCCAGGACUGUAGUAAACUUUGGGGAGUAGAAGGAUUGGCAAUGGGCUUAAAACAGGGGCUUUUAAGGUGCUGAUGAUGUUCUGUUUCUUGACCUGGGUUACCAAUGUGCUUACUUUGUAAAAUUCAUCUGAUGGUACACUUAUGAUUUGUGUACUCUUUGUAUGUGAACUAUGCUUUAAAAAAACACAUUUAUUUUUUA
Molecule: long non-coding RNA, 770 nt
Organism: Myotis myotis
Lineage: Eukaryota; Metazoa; Chordata; Mammalia; Chiroptera; Vespertilionidae
Exons: 2
Source: RefSeq, a predicted model, not a curated record